This 251-nucleotide ribosomal RNA is filed under the name uncultured prokaryote. RNAcentral's name for it is "partial 16S ribosomal RNA". It matches the Rfam family "Bacterial small subunit ribosomal RNA", at positions 525 to 775 of the family's 1533-position model. The record is from RNAcentral.
ACGCAGGAGGCGAGCGUUAUCCGGAAUUACUGGGCGUAAAGCGCAUGCAGGCGGUUUUUUAAGUCGGACGUAAAAGCUCCCGGCUUAACUGGGAGAGGUCGUUCAAUACUACUGGACUAGAGAGUGGUAGAGGGAGGUGGAAUUCCGGGUGUAGUGGUGAAAUGCGUAGAUAUCCGGAGGAACACCAGUGGCGAAAGCGGCCUCCUGGACCAUUUCUGACGCUCAGACGCGAAAGCUAGGGUAGCGAACGG